GACCACGUAGCUCAGUUGGCAGAGCAUUGGACUAGCAUCCCAAAGGUCGCGGGUUCGAUUCCCACCCUGGCCA
Molecule: non-coding RNA, 73 nt
Organism: Paramuricea clavata
Lineage: Eukaryota; Metazoa; Cnidaria; Anthozoa; Malacalcyonacea; Plexauridae
Source: the annotation of a GenBank genome assembly